GACAGAGGAUAGCUGUGACUCAUGGG
RNAcentral lists this non-coding RNA (26 nucleotides) under Homo sapiens (human). Lineage: Eukaryota; Metazoa; Chordata; Mammalia; Primates; Hominidae. The record is from RNAcentral.